Molecule: non-coding RNA, 94 nt
Filed under: unclassified sequences
Description: DUF3800-V RNA
Rfam family: DUF3800-V RNA
Source: Rfam by way of RNAcentral
AGAGGGGCAAGUAAUACCUUUUAAACUCUUAUAAUGUUCCCUGAUGGAUAUUGGGCCAAGUUAUAAGGAGAUGUUUAAAAGGUUUUGCCUCUCU